Molecule: ribosomal RNA, 459 nt
Filed under: uncultured bacterium
Lineage: Bacteria
Description: partial 16S ribosomal RNA
Rfam family: Bacterial small subunit ribosomal RNA
Source: RNAcentral
CCUACGGGAGGCAGCAGUGAGGAAUAUUGGUCAAUGGUCGCAGGGCUGAACCAGCCAAGUCGCGUGAGGGAUGACGGUCCUAUGGAUUGUAAACCUCUUUUGUCAGGGAGCAAAGGGCGCCACGUGUGGCGCUUUGCGAGUACCUGAAGAAAAAGCAUCGGCUAACUCCGUGCCAGCAGCCGCGGUACUACGGAGGAUGCGAGCGUUCUCCGGAUUUAUUGGGUUUAAAGGGUGCGCAGGCGGAAUGUCAAGUCAGCGGUAAAAUUUCGGGGCUCAACCCCGUCGUGCCGUUGAAACUGGCGUUCUUGAGUGAGCGAGAAGUAUGCGGAAUGCGUGGUGUAGCGGUGAAAUGCAUAGAUAUCACGCAGAACUCCGAUUGCGAAGGCAGCAUACCGGCGCUCAACUGACGCUCAUGCACGAAAGCGUGGGUAUCGAACAGGAUUAGAUACCCCGGUAGUC